RNAcentral lists this ribosomal RNA (421 nucleotides) under uncultured bacterium. RNAcentral's name for it is "bacterial SSU rRNA". It matches the Rfam family "Bacterial small subunit ribosomal RNA", at positions 356 to 773 of the family's 1533-position model. The record is from RNAcentral.
AAGGAAUAUUGGGCAAUGGACGCAAGUCUGACCCAGCCAUGCCGCGUGAAGGAUGAAUGUCCUAUGGAUUGUAAACUUCUUUUAUGCAGGAAAAACAUCCCGGUCGUGAACCGGGACUGAUGGUACUGUAUGAAUAAGCAUCGGCUAACUCCGUGCCAGCAGCCGCGGUAAUACGGAGGAUGCGAGCGUUAUCCGGAUUCAUUGGGUUUAAAGGGUGCGCAGGCGGAAUAAUAAGUCAGUGGUGAAAUCUCCCGGCUCAACCGGGAAACUGCCAUUGAUACUGUUAUUCUUGAGUACAGUUGAAGUGGGCGGAAUGUGUCAUGUAGCGGUGAAAUGCUUAGAUAUGACACAGAACACCGAUAGCGAAGGCAGCUCACUAAGCUGUAACUGACGCUCAUGCACGAAAGCGUGGGGAUCAAAC